RNAcentral lists this ribosomal RNA (569 nucleotides) under uncultured Lactococcus sp. RNAcentral describes it as "bacterial SSU rRNA". It matches the Rfam family "Bacterial small subunit ribosomal RNA", at positions 318 to 879 of the family's 1533-position model. Lineage: Bacteria; Bacillati; Bacillota; Bacilli; Lactobacillales; Streptococcaceae. The record is from RNAcentral.
ACUGAGACACGGCCCAAACUCCUACGGGAGGCAGCAGUAGGGAAUCUUCGGCAAUGGACGAAAGUCUGACCGAGCAACGCCGCGUGAGUGAAGAAGGUUUUCGGAUCGUAAAACUCUGUUGGUAGAGAAGAACGUUGGUGAGAGUGGAAAGCUCAUCAAGUGACGGUAACUACCCAGAAAGGGACGGCUAACUACGUGCCAGCAGCCGCGGUAAUACGUAGGUCCCGAGCGUUGUCCGGAUUUAUUGGGCGUAAAGCGAGCGCAGGUGGUUUAUUAAGUCUGGUGUAAAAGGCAGUGGCUCAACCAUUGUAUGCAUUGGAAACUGGUAGACUUGAGUGCAGGAGAGGAGAGUGGAAUUCCAUGUGUAGCGGUGAAAUGCGUAGAUAUAUGGAGGAACACCGGUGGCGAAAGCGGCUCUCUGGCCUGUAACUGACACUGAGGCUCGAAAGCGUGGGGAGCAAACAGGAUUAGAUACCCUGGUAGUCCACGCCGUAAACGAUGAGUGCUAGAUGUAGGGAGCUAUAAGUUCUCUGUAUCGCAGCUAACGCAAUAAGCACUCCGCCUGGGGA